RNAcentral lists this ribosomal RNA (292 nucleotides) under uncultured bacterium. Its description in RNAcentral is "partial 16S ribosomal RNA". The record is from RNAcentral. RNAcentral also lists the same sequence under 1 other name.
GGACUACCAGGGUAUCUAAUCCCGUUUGCUCCCCUGGCCUUCGUGCCUCAGUGUCAGGAACUGUCCAGAGACCCGCCUUCGCCACUGGUCUUCCUUACGAUCUCUACGCAUUUCACUGCUACACCGUAAAUUCCAGUCUCCUCUCCAGUCCUCAAGCACCGCAGUAUCAAAUGCAGUUUCGAGGUUAAGCCUCGAAAUUUCACACCUGACUUACAGCGCCACCUACGCACCCUUUACGCCCAAUGAAUCCGAACAACGCUUGAGACCUCUGUAUUACCGCGGCGGCUGGCAC